UCAGGAUGAACGCUAGCUACAGGCUUAACACAUGCAAGUCGAGGGGCAUCAGGAAGAAAGCUUGCUUUCUUUGCUGGCGACCGGCGCACGGGUGAGUAACACGUAUCCAACCUGCCCUUUACUCGGGGAUAGCCUUUCGAAAGAAAGAUUAAUACCCGAUAGCAUAAUGAUUCCGCAUGGUUUCAUUAUUAAAGGAUUCCGGUAAAGGAUGGGGAUGCGUUCCAUUAGGUUGUUGGUGAGGUAACGGCCCACCAAGCCUUCGAUGGAUAGGGGUUCUGAGAGGAAGGUCCCCCACAUUGGAACUGAGACACGGUCCAAACUCCUACGGGAGGCAGCAGUGAGGAAUAUUGGUCAAUGGGCGCUAGCCUGAACCAGCCAAGUAGCGUGAAGGAUGAAGGCUCUAUGGGUCGUAAACUUCUUUUAUAUAAGAAUAAAGUGCAGUAUGUAUACUGUUUUGUAUGUAUUAUAUGAAUAAGGAUCGGCUAACUCCGUGCCAGCAGCCGCGGUAAUACGGAGGAUCCGAGCGUUAUCCGGAUUUAUUGGGUUUAAAGGGAGCGUAGGUGGACUGGUAAGUCAGUUGUGAAAGUUUGCGGCUCAACCGUAAAAUUGCAGUUGAUACUGUCAGUCUUGAGUACAGUAGAGGUGGGCGGAAUUCGUGGUGUAGCGGUGAAAUGCUUAGAUAUCACGAAGAACUCCGAUUGCGAAGGCAGCUCACUGGACUGCAACUGACACUGAUGCUCGAAAGUGUGGGUAUCAAACAGGAUUAGAUACCCUGGUAGUCCACACAGUAAACGAUGAAUACUCGCUGUUUGCGAUAUACAGUAAGCGGCCAAGCGAAAGCAUUAAGUAUUCCACCUGGGGAGUACGCCGGCAACGGUGAAACUCAAAGGAAUUGACGGGGGCCCGCACAAGCGGAGGAACAUGUGGUUUAAUUCGAUGAUACGCGAGGAACCUUACCCGGGCUUAAAUUGCAGUGGAAUGAUGUGGAAACAUGUCAGUGAGCAAUCACCGCUGUGAAGGUGCUGCAUGGUUGUCGUCAGCUCGUGCCGUGAGGUGUCGGCUUAAGUGCCAUAACGAGCGCAACCCUUAUCUUUAGUUACUAACAGGUUAUGCUGAGGACUCUAGAGAGACUGCCGUCGUAAGAUGUGAGGAAGGUGGGGAUGACGUCAAAUCAGCACGGCCCUUACGUCCGGGGCUACACACGUGUUACAAUGGGGGGUACAGAAGGCAGCUAGCGGGUGACCGUAUGCUAAUCCCAAAAUCCUCUCUCAGUUCGGAUCGAAGUCUGCAACCCGACUUCGUGAAGCUGGAUUCGCUAGUAAUCGCGCAUCAGCCACGGCGCGGUGAAUACGUUCCCGGGCCUUGUACACACCGCCCGUCAAGCCAUGGGAGCCGGGGGUACCUGAAGUACGUAACCGCAAGGAUCGUCCUAGGGUAAA
Molecule: ribosomal RNA, 1439 nt
Filed under: uncultured organism
Description: SSU rRNA
Rfam family: Bacterial small subunit ribosomal RNA
Source: RNAcentral